Non-coding RNA from Trichonephila clavipes, 89 nucleotides. NCBI's taxonomy places the organism in Eukaryota, Metazoa, Arthropoda, Arachnida, Araneae, Nephilidae. The record is from the annotation of a GenBank genome assembly.
GUCCCUGUAGCGCAAUGGGUAUUGUGUGUGUGUGUGUGUGCGUUGGACUUCUAAUCCAAAGGUCGUGGGCUCAAAUUCCACCUGAGAUG